RNAcentral lists this ribosomal RNA (410 nucleotides) under uncultured bacterium. RNAcentral's name for it is "bacterial SSU rRNA". It matches the Rfam family "Bacterial small subunit ribosomal RNA", at positions 356 to 758 of the family's 1533-position model. The record is from RNAcentral.
GGGGAAUUUUGGACAAUGGGCGCAAGCCUGAUCCAGCCAUGCCGCGUGCAGGAUGAAGGCCCUCGGGUUGUAAACUGCUUUUGUACGGAACGAAAAGCCUCUUUCUAAUAAAGAGGGGUGAUGACGGUACCGUAAGAAUAAGCACCGGCUAACUACGUGCCAGCAGCCGCGGUAAUACGUAGGGUGCGAGCGUUAAUCGGAAUUACUGGGCGUAAAGCGUGCGCAGGCGGUCGUGCAAGACAGUGGUGAAAUCCCCGGGCUCAACCUGGGAGCUGCAAUUGUGACUGCAAGGCUGGAGUACGGCAGAGGGGGAUGGAAUUCCGCGUGUAGCAGUGAAAUGCGUAGAUAUGCGGAGGAACACCGAUGGCGAAGGCAGUCCCCUGGGCCUGUACUGACGCUCAUGCACGAAA